This is a long non-coding RNA of Salvia miltiorrhiza (redroot sage), 648 nucleotides long. RefSeq lists it as uncharacterized. The transcript is spliced from 3 exons. The record is from RefSeq and is a predicted model, not a curated record. NCBI's taxonomy places the organism in Eukaryota, Viridiplantae, Streptophyta, Magnoliopsida, Lamiales, Lamiaceae.
UUGGUUUUAUUUAUAAAUCCAAUUAUUUAAGAAAAUUGAGUAAGAAUAUUGUUGGUGUUCUUAACUCAAGAGAAAUAUUUUCAAGUAUUUAUUUAUUAAAUUUUGAAAACCCGGCUAAGUGAAUCAUAGAAUGUUAAGCACUACACCAUGACUUAAGAUUAGAUACAAGGAGACCUAUUGAGAAUAGAUUUCUUGUAGGCUUCGAGCAUCAGAAGGAUUAGCACUGCUAUUCCGAUUCAGAGAUAAGGUUAAACGACAGGCUUUGCCUAUACAGGCUUCGAGCAUCAGAAGGAUUAGCACUGCUAUUCCGAUUCAGAGAUAAGGUUAAACGACAGGCUUUGCCUAUACAGGUUGAGCAGUUGAUGGAAUGGAAUGAUGUUGAGCGGGUGUUCCUUUGACAUUUCAAGAAAUGUAACCUUGAGUAUACAUCUUCAUAUGUAUAUCUCACACGUUUUCCGCUGCAAAACACUUUGAUUAGGAUAGCUCUAUGUUAUGAAGUUGUUAUACGUGUUAUUGGGUAACCCACCUUAAUCAGUUCUCAUUUAUGUGUAUGUUUUAUAAGUAUCCAAAUAAUCAUAUAUAAUCCUAGCAUUUUAUCUAUGAGUGACAUUUCCAUAUACUUUAAUGUUAAGUAAUUGUCCAUUUCCA